Molecule: ribosomal RNA, 2970 nt
Filed under: Triticum aestivum (bread wheat)
Lineage: Eukaryota; Viridiplantae; Streptophyta; Magnoliopsida; Poales; Poaceae
Description: partial small subunit ribosomal RNA
Source: RNAcentral
AUGGCCGCCGCGCCGGUGGCGUCCCCCUUCCCCACGCUCCCCUCGCCCUCCCCCACCCUCAGCACGUCCCCGCGCCGUCUUCACGGCCGCGCGGUCCCGCCACCAGCGGCGGCCGCCUCGCCGCGCGAGCAGCAGCAGCAGCAGCAGAGCGCCAGGGGCGCGGCGGGCGCGGGGGAAAGCAGGCGGCGGCGGGAGGAGGAACAGGCGGAGGCCGCGGCGGAGGAGUUCGAGCGGCAGCGGAAGGAGGAGGUGAACCGCAAGAUCGCCUCCCGGAAGGCGCUCUCCAUCAUCCUCCGGCGCGAGGCCACCAAGGCCGUCCUCGACAAGCGCGAGCCCGGCAAGGGCACCCGCCGCCUCCUCCCCCGCACCGUCCUCGAGGCCCUUCACGACCGCGUCGCCGCGCUCCGCUGGGAGUCCGCCCUCAAGGUGUUCGAGCUAAUGCGGGACCAGGUGUGGUACAGGCCGUACGUCGGGAUAUACAUCAAGCUCAUCACCAUGCUCGGCAAGUGCAAGCAGCCGGGGAAGGCGCACGAGCUCUUCCAGGCCAUGGUCGACGAGGGCUGCGCCCCCAACCUCGAGUCGUACACUGCCCUUGUCUCCGCGUACAGCAGGAGCGGCAGCUUCGACAGGGCUUUCUCCUUGCUUGAUCAGAUGAAGGCCACUCCUGGUUGCCGGCCCGAUGUGCAGACAUACUCGAUCCUCAUCAAGUCCUGCUUGCACGCCUAUGACUUCGACAGGGUGAAGGACUUGCUGGAGGAUAUGGCGCGCGCGGGUAUCCGCCCCAACACCGUGACUUAUAAUACUCUCAUUGAUGCUCAUGGGAAAGCAGGAAGGUUUGCUGAGAUGGAGUCAACUCUUCUUGAGAUGUUGUCUGAAGACUGCAAGCCUGAUGUGUGGACAAUGAAUUCUACUCUGAGAGCUUUCGGUAGCAGUGGUCAGAUUGAGACAAUGGAAAGCUGCUACGAGAAGUUCCAGGCAUCUGGUAUCUCCCCAAACAUUAAGACCUACAACAUUUUACUUGAUUCCUAUGGUAAAGCCAAAAUGUAUGAGAAGAUGGGAGCAGUGAUGGAGUACAUGCAGAAGUAUUACUAUUCUUGGACAAUAGUCACAUACAACGUAGUUAUUGAUGCAUUCGGAAGGGCCGGCGAUCUUGAACAGAUGGAAUACAUCUUUAGAUUGAUGAAAUCAGACCGUAUAAAACCUAACUGUGUCACCCUCUGUUCAUUGAUUAGAGCAUAUGGAAGGGCUGACCAAGUAAAGAAAAUAGAGACAGUGUUAAGAGUUGUUGAGAAUUCAGAUAUCACGUUGGAUAUUGUGUUUUUCAACUGUUUGGUGGACGCAUAUGGGAGGGUGGGGCGCUUGGCAGAGAUGUGGGAUGUUCUCAAUAUGAUGAAGGAAGAGCAAAUAAGACCAGACAAGCAAGCCAAUGCAAGGCCACUCGCAGUGAACAACCUGAUCAGGUUCUCUGUCUCUGCUAUUGUGGUACUGGAGUCGGCCAAGAGGAAGGGCCGGAGGCACGCCGUGGACGCGAGGGAUGAGGCCGCCGCGCAGCAGGAGUUCACCAACGCCCGCGUCGCUGCGGCAAUGAGGGAGGCGCUCUACAUGCUAGGGGUAAACCCUAGGCAGCACAGCGUCCUCCAAGCCGCCGUCGCCGCGGCCAGUACCGGCUCGUCGGCAUUUCCUCGGAUGGUGCUGCCCGACUCACCCCGCGCGUCGACUUGCAACCCGGUCCCCGGCUUCCACGUCUACCCGCAGGCCUCCCGUCUCUCCGGGGAGUGCUCACCCGACGUGAGCGUGGUCGCGCCUUCCACGCCCGCGCCCGCGCCCAUCGACCUCAACGCCACCCCGGUGGUCGGUGGCUCGUCGUCCGGCGGCACGAGAAAACGCGCGCGACAGACGCCAGCCGACGGGCUCCCGGACGCCCGUAACCUGUUCGAGGAAAUGUCGUCCGCCGUCGACGAGGACUACAUGCAAAACCUCAUCUUCGAGGGUGAGGACUAUGGGCUAGAGGAAGAGGACGAGUGCGACAUCGAAGUGGAGCCUUUGUUCGAGGACGAGCUAGCCAACCAAACCGCCGGUCCUAAGCCGAAGCGCAAGAGCAAGCACACGAAGGCGUACACAGCUGCCGAGGACAAGCUUCUUUGCGAGUGUUGGCGAGACAUUGGACAAGACCCAAAGACGGGCGCCGAGCAAAAGCAUUCGACCUUUUGGACUCGUGUGCACCGCGAGUUUCAUGAGCGCAAGAAGUUUCCACCUUACCAAUUUGUGAGCACGCGCGGGUGGGUCUCCAUUUCCAGGCGGUGGAGGAUGAUCCAACAAGAGUGCAACAAGUUUUGCGCCACCCUUGAGAGCGUCAAGGCCCGCCCCGUGAGCGGCAUCGGCGUGCAAGACAUGGCAUUUCAAGCUUUGGAGGCAUUCAAGGUUCAACACAAUGGCAAGUGCUUCAACCUCUCCCAUUGCUAUCGGGUCAUCAAGGACGAAGAGAAGUUCAAGGCACAAUAUGCCACACUCAAGGCACGUGGGGGGAAGGGCGCCGUGGAGGAUGUUGGGGAGGGCGAGCCGGCACGGCCGCGGGGGAAGACCAACUCCAAGAAGGAGGACAAGCGAGAUGCGGCCACCAACGCCUUGAUCGCAAGCGUGGACGGCAUGAUGAAUAAGAAGGACUCAAGGAAGGAGGAGCGCCGGCGUUUCAAGGCGGAGCAAAUGGAUGUUUUCAUGGAGAUCCAAAGGAGGAGGCUUGAUCUUGACGCUGAGAAGCAAGCCAAGAUGUUCGAGCUCGAGGCGGAGAAGCAAGCCAAGAUGCUAGAGAUCGAGGCCGCCAACGCCAAGACAAAGGCGAAAGAAGUGGCUCUUGCAAGCAUGAUGACCGGGGUGGAGAUCAUGAAGGUGGAUCUCAACGCUUUGUCGCCAAGGAAGAGGUCGUGGUUCAAGAAGAUGCAGGCUGACAUGCUCAAGUUCGACGACGAGUGA